GUUUUGUUGAGUGCCUGGGAGGGAGACAGGAUCUGUCUGUGCCUCUGCUCAUCAACAAAAUAGUUUCUUGUCUCCACUGGCUCCUAUCUAGAGCAGCUCUGGAGUCAGUCGAGCUGAACACAGAAGAAACUGGCACAUGAUAUCCAGUAUCUACUUCAGACUUAGUGAAGAGUCCUUUCAUAUAUAUCGAUCUGUAGAGAAAUGAGUAAGGAUGGUCUGGCUUUAAAAGGAAAAAGAAGAGAGUGAGAUAUUCAUGAAAUAUAGGCUCCACCAGUGAUGUACCUAAUAAAAGCUGAGGCCUGACUGAUCCA
RNAcentral lists this long non-coding RNA (311 nucleotides) under Phasianus colchicus (ring-necked pheasant). Its description in RNAcentral is "lncRNA (ENSPCLG00000008747.1)". The record is from RNAcentral. Lineage: Eukaryota; Metazoa; Chordata; Aves; Galliformes; Phasianidae.